UUGAGUUGGCAAAAAAGUUUGUUUGGGUUUUUCUGUAAUAUCUUAAAAACCCAGAUGAACUUUUUGGCCAACCCAGU
Molecule: microRNA precursor, 77 nt
Organism: Bos indicus x Bos taurus (hybrid cattle)
Lineage: Eukaryota; Metazoa; Chordata; Mammalia; Artiodactyla; Bovidae
Source: Ensembl